RNAcentral lists this ribosomal RNA (475 nucleotides) under uncultured bacterium. RNAcentral describes it as "SSU rRNA". It matches the Rfam family "Bacterial small subunit ribosomal RNA", at positions 26 to 521 of the family's 1533-position model. The record is from RNAcentral.
AGGACGAACGCUGGCGGCGUGCUUAACACAUGCAAGUCGAACGGUAAGGCCUUCGGGUACACGAGUGGCGAACGGGUGAGUAACACGUGGGUGAUCUGCCCUGCACUUCGGGAUAAGCUUGGGAAACUGGGUCUAAUACCGGAUAUGACUGCGCAUCGCAUGGUGUGUGGUGGAAAGCUUUUGCGGUGUGGGAUGGGCCCGCGGCCUAUCAGCUUGUUGGUGGGGUGAUGGCCUACCAAGGCGACGACGGGUAGCCGGCCUGAGAGGGUGUCCGGCCACACUGGGACUGAGAUACGGCCCAGACUCCUACGGGAGGCAGCAGUGGGGGAAUAUUGCACAAUGGGCGCAAGCCUGAUGCAGCGACGCCGCGUGAGGGAUGACGGCCUUCGGGUUGUAAACCUCUUUCAGUAUCGACGAAGCGUAAGUGACGGUAGGUACAGAGAAGGACCGGCAACUACGUGCCAGCAGCCGCGGU